RNAcentral lists this long non-coding RNA (1123 nucleotides) under Nicotiana benthamiana. RNAcentral describes it as "long non-coding RNA (NBEN_LNC033946)". The record is from RNAcentral. Lineage: Eukaryota; Viridiplantae; Streptophyta; Magnoliopsida; Solanales; Solanaceae.
CGGUACUCAAAAUAUCUGGAGUACAGCUAUAUAUACAAGUGCCAUUGGGUCGGGUCAGACGACCCAAUGAAGGUAAUGAAAAAUGGGACUCAGUAGAGGAAGAGACGACCCAAUGAAGGUAAUGAAAAAUGGGGCUCAGAUAUAAAAUUGGGCUCGGUAUACAUUUGGCCCAAACAACAAGUAAUCAUCACAGCCCAAGCAUUGUAUACCAGAUGAUACAAUAAAUAUACAGUGUAUAUAUAGCGUAUAUAAUCAUGUAAUCUUCUUCAUCUCAACACCCCCCCUCAAGUUGGAGGGGGAAACCACCUGCAACUUGGUGAGCAGCGGAAGAAGCAUAGUGCCGGGCAGUGGCUUAGUGAGCAAGUCGGCCAACUGACGAGAGGUAGGCACAUGAAGCAGCUUGAGAAAACCAGAGUGCAGCAAGUCCCGAACAAAAUGGCAGUCCACCUCGAUAUGUUUGGUACGUUCAUGAAAAACAGGAUUGUUAGCAAUAUGAACGGCAGCCUGACUAUCAUAAUAUACAGAAAUAGGAGAAGAAACAGAUACCCCAAGGUCAACCAACAAACGAGAAAGCCAAGUCUACUCAGCAAAAUCAAUAUACAGAAAUAGGAGAAGAAACAUAUACCCCAAGGUCAACCAACAAACGAGAAAACCAAGUCAAACUCAGCAACAACCUUGCUAAGGGCUCUAUAUUCAGCCUCAACAGAGGAGAGAGAAACAACAGGCUUUUUCUUGGAUUUCCAACUGAUCAAACAGCCACCCAAAAGCACACAAAAACCAGUAACAGAUCGCCUAGUAUCAGGGCAAGCAGCCCAGUCACUAUCACAAUACCCAGUAACAGAAAAAUCAGCAUGAGCAGAAUAAAACAGACCCAAGGAGGGAGUGCCCUUAAGGUAUCUCAGAACAUGCAGGGCAGCAGUCAUAUGGGGAAGUCUGGGGCAUUUGAGGAAUUGACUCAGAUGCUGGACUNNNNNNNNNNNNNNNNNNNACCAACUCAACCCCAAAAGCUAGCUUAUGAGGUGAGGAUUGGCCAAGCCAUAUAAGGAGACCAAAGAUCUCGAAUCCCUCCGAUGUGGGACAACUCAACACCCCCCAUCACGCCCAGAUCUCUGGAGCGUGGACA